UUUCUUGUUCUUAUAUGCGAUGGAUGUUUCUCUCUGCCUGUUUAUUCCUUCAGGUGGAUGUUUGUCUAAGUGAUGGAACCCUAGCUAGGGCUGUUGUCACGAGUGGCACCUUGACAGGUUCUAAAAUGUGAGUAUGCUGUCCGUGGAGAGAUUGUUACCCAUGCCCAGUUAUGGUGUUAUAUCUGUACCAGAGGUGACGGAUUGACAGCCUCUAACUAGCAAUGAUAGAUACCUGGUGGCUGCAAUUGAUGGGGUCUCCGAGAAAAUGACUGUGCAGGAUAUCUGUGAUCUAAUAUGGGAUGUACGCAUUCAAGACAGUGAAAAAUCAGAAUCCGUUUCUACCAACACAAAAUUGUUGGCUGUGUGGAAGGCUAUGUGGCACUUCAUGUGCAUUUGUAGUUUGUUUUGAAAACCUUAAGUAGACCAUUCAUUGUUUUGUUGGUAUUGUGCUGAUUGUUUUGUCUUGAUGAAUGUUAAAUGGGUGAAACAUGCACAGGUUCAAUCAUUGGUUGAUUAUGAUAUUGUUAGCUUCGGUUGAUAGAAACGAAGGCUAAAGAUGGAUUUAGUAUUA
This is a long non-coding RNA of Magnolia sinica, 571 nucleotides long. RefSeq lists it as uncharacterized. Lineage: Eukaryota; Viridiplantae; Streptophyta; Magnoliopsida; Magnoliales; Magnoliaceae. The transcript is spliced from 3 exons. The record is from RefSeq and is a predicted model, not a curated record.